RNAcentral lists this long non-coding RNA (1452 nucleotides) under Heterocephalus glaber (naked mole-rat). RNAcentral's name for it is "lncRNA (ENSHGLG00100046779.1)". Lineage: Eukaryota; Metazoa; Chordata; Mammalia; Rodentia; Bathyergidae. The record is from RNAcentral.
GGAAGCUGAGGCUUUUGGCCCUUCCCUGCACUUUUACCUGGACACGCCAGAGUCCUGGGGCCGCUGCUGCCUGCCUGGGCAGUGGGUCUGGAGACCCGGCCUUAUAUCUAGGCAGCCACCCUGUGCAGAGCCCGAGAGAGUCACACGGUGUGGCCUGGCUGGUCUCAUCUUCCUAGAGCUGCCAAGAGGAAGAAGGCAAAGAGCUUUCACCAUCCUGCCUUGACUGCAAAGGGAUGGAACUCGGGACUUUGUGCUUGUGAAGCAGGCGGUGGCACCACUGAGCUAAAUCUCCAGCCCUACUCUUGUAAAAUCUUGAAGAGAUAAUGGAGUACGGAGAAAACCUCCAGGUGACUUCGUAUUUGUUGCUCCUUGGGGUUGAUUUUGGAUAAGUCAGUUCUUAUAUCUGGCCUCUGUCUCCCCACCUCUAAAAUAAGGGUGUUGGGCUGCGGGAUGGGGCUGGCUGGGCUGGCUCUGCUCAGCAGUCACUACGCAGUGAGGAUGGGCUGUGAUUUGGGGAAAGAGCUGUUUGGAUGUGCACUGCAGCAGCACCUAAUAGCCUCCCUGCCCCACGGUAGGACCAGCUUCAAUGUCCAGAAACAGGCCAUUAUUAAAUAAACCUGGGCUGCCAGGCAGCCAGCACAGAACAAUGUAGAGAGACCAAAUGAAGCAACUGAAAAGGGAAACUAUUCCCUCUACAUUUUAAUACAGUUUUUCUUCAUCUAGAGAACAUUCUGGAAGAAAAUGCACACAAAGUAACAACGCUUGUUUUUUGGUGGGAUCAUCCCAGGUGACUUUUACUACCUUCUUGGUGCUUUUCAGAAUUUAAACAAUUUUCCCAACCCAAAUAUGUAAUGUGUACUAUAGCAGCUCAGAUCCAAGGAGGUAUUUUCUAAAAUCAAUUUUCUUUAAAGUACUUUCUAUUUCCAUUUCUGGAUCUGGUAUCUCCUAAAAAGUAAGAAACCAGUUACUGUUGGUGAUAAACCACCUGCUCAUUAUCAAUGUGAGAUUUAACAAAUAAGUAAUACAUGCUGCAUUUAUUCAAGUGUUUAUUGAUGAAUUGGUUUUUUUUUGUACUGGGAUCAAAAUGCAAGGUCCUUGCAUUUGCGAGGUAGGUGGCAGAACCACUGAGCUAAAUUCCCAGCUCACUGAAUUGUUAAUUGUGAGGAGAUUAUUGAAUUCCUCCUCCAUAUUUCUGCAGUUUCCUAUACAAUAACUCUUUGAGUAAGCUGAAGUUUAAUUGUGUACACAUUUGUAGUAGAGUACAAAUAGUGUUUUUCUUUACAGCCUUUUUUGACCCAGAAGCGAAGGGUGAUGUUAACUAGUACACUUUGUUUUUAUACUAGCUAUAUUUCUAUAAGGUAUGAUGCCCUGUGUAUCCCAGAGAGGCUAGAAAACUGUUCUUUGCUCCUAUUUGUGGGUGCAUUUUUGUGGGAGAUUUUGGAGAAUGUGCAU